AGCUUUGUAGUCAAAAAUGAUUUCAAAUUGCAAGUUUGAGGGUGAUUAAUAUUCAAGGCUU
This 61-nucleotide transfer RNA is filed under the name Rhadinosa nigrocyanea. Its description in RNAcentral is "tRNA-Cys". The record is from RNAcentral. Lineage: Eukaryota; Metazoa; Arthropoda; Insecta; Coleoptera; Chrysomelidae.